GACGAACGCUGGCGGCGUGCCUAAUACAUGCAAGUAGAACGCUGAAGGAGGAGCUUGCUCUUCUGGAUGAGUUGCGAACGGGUGAGUAACGCGUAGGUAACCUGCCUGGUAGCGGGGGAUAACUAUUGGAAACGAUAGCUAAUACCGCAUAAGAGUAGAUGUUGCAUGACAUUUACUUAAAAGGUGCAAUUGCAUCACUACCAGAUGGACCUGCGUUGUAUUAGCUAGUUGGUGGGGUAACGGCUUACCAAGGCGACGAUACAUAGCCGACCUGAGAGGGUGAUCGGCCAAAAUGGGACUGAGACACGGCCCAGACUCCUACGGGAGGCAGCAGUAGGGAAUCUUCGGAAAUGGACGGAAGUCUGACCGAGCAACGCCGCGUGAGUGAAGAAGGUUUUCGGAUCGUAAAGCUCUGUUGUAAGAGAAGAACGAGUGUGAGAGUGGAAAGUUCACACUGUGACGGUAUCUUACCAGAAAGGGACGGCUAACUACGUG
RNAcentral lists this ribosomal RNA (495 nucleotides) under uncultured bacterium. RNAcentral describes it as "partial 16S ribosomal RNA". It matches the Rfam family "Bacterial small subunit ribosomal RNA", at positions 28 to 507 of the family's 1533-position model. The record is from RNAcentral.